RNAcentral lists this ribosomal RNA (253 nucleotides) under uncultured bacterium. RNAcentral describes it as "partial 16S ribosomal RNA". It matches the Rfam family "Bacterial small subunit ribosomal RNA", at positions 524 to 776 of the family's 1533-position model. The record is from RNAcentral.
UACGUAUGGGGCUAGCGUUGUCCGGAUUUAUUGGGCGUAAAGAGCGUGUAGGCGGCCAUGUAGGUCCGGUGUGAAAACUCGAGGCUUAACCUCGAGAUGUCAUCGGAAACCAUUUGGCUAGAGUCCGGAAGAGGAGAGUGGAAUUCCUGGUGUAGCGGUGAAAUGCGCAGAUAUCAGGAAGAACACCCGUGGCGAAGGCGGCUCUCUGGGACGGUACUGACGCUGAGACGCGAAAGCGUGGGGAGCGAACAGG